RNAcentral lists this non-coding RNA (79 nucleotides) under Orenia sp. RNAcentral describes it as "Fluoride sequence". It matches the Rfam family "Fluoride riboswitch aptamer (crcB RNA motif)". Lineage: Bacteria; Bacillati; Bacillota; Clostridia; Halanaerobiales; Halobacteroidaceae. The record is from RNAcentral.
CAUAAAAUUGGUGAUGAGGCUUACCUUGAUAUUCUUGAUAUAUCAAAACCGUCUUUAGACUAAUAGCUUCUACUCCCUA